Molecule: long non-coding RNA, 378 nt
Filed under: Populus trichocarpa (black cottonwood)
Lineage: Eukaryota; Viridiplantae; Streptophyta; Magnoliopsida; Malpighiales; Salicaceae
Description: long non-coding RNA (PTRI_LNC004222)
Source: RNAcentral
UAGUGGUCCAUCGCUGUUGGGCUAUAUUAGUUCGCUGAUUGGAAUUAGAACUGUGUACAUAAUUGUGUUUUUGGUGGCAAUGCUGAUGUUCAUCCAACAUAUUAGCAAAGAGGAACCUCUAAGGGUUGGUACUCGGGACCAAGCUGAACCUGCGACAAGCUCCAAAGCUGAAAGCUCAGAGUAUAGACCUGAAGAUAAGCAGGACUAGAUACGGUAAUGUACUCGGGGAUACCGUAUGAUGAAUCAAAAGACGGCGGUUAUACAGUAGGAAAGCAACCACAGACUUCUAAGUUAUUCUGAAUUUCCUAGCUUUGAUAGAGAAUGAGCUCUUCCAUGAAUUCUGAUGUGCUUAAAUAAGACCUAUUUUGAGUACUCAUG